Molecule: ribosomal RNA, 513 nt
Filed under: uncultured bacterium
Lineage: Bacteria
Description: bacterial SSU rRNA
Rfam family: Bacterial small subunit ribosomal RNA
Source: RNAcentral
GAUCCUGGCUCAGAACGAACGCUGGCGGCGCGUUUAAGCAUGCAAGUCGAGCGGCAAGGGCCUUCGGGCCCCUAGAGCGGCGGACGGGUGAGUAACACGUGGACAAUCUGCCCCCCGGCCCGGGAUAGCCCGGGGAAGCCUGGAUUAAUACCGGAUGAGACGGGACCCGCGAUGGCGGGACCCGGGAAAGGCGCUGCGGCGCCGCCGGGGGAUGAGUCUGCGUCCCAUUAGCUAGACGGCGGGGUAACGGCCCACCGUGGCGACGAUGGGUAGCCGGCCUGAGAGGGUGGACGGCCACAUUGGAACUGAGACACGGUCCAGACUCCUACGGGAGGCAGCAGCUAAGAAUCUUCCGCAAUGGGCGAAAGCCUGACGGAGCCGACGCCGCGUGAACGAAGAAGGCCGUGAGGUUGUAAAGUUCUUUUCGGGAGGGGGAACAACCGUGGCAGGGAAUGGCCGCGGGAUGACGUGAAUCCCGGAAUAAGCCCCGGCUAACUACGUGCCAGCAGCCGC